This is a microRNA precursor of Macaca nemestrina (pig-tailed macaque), 87 nucleotides long. The record is from Ensembl. Lineage: Eukaryota; Metazoa; Chordata; Mammalia; Primates; Cercopithecidae.
GUAUUAGGUUGGUGCAAAAGUAAUUGCAGUUUUUGCAAUUACUUUUAAUGGCAAAAACCUCAAUUACUUUUGCACCAAGCUAAAUAU